CAUCUUCUUGCAUCCUUGGCCCAUAGAACCUACAAACACACAAAAAUGGCUUAAACUACUAACAUAACUAAGAACUAAGAACAUAAAUGCACGAAAACAAACAUACUAAGUCGCAUAAAUAUGCUCCUAUCAAAUUCCCCCACACUUAGCUUUUGCUAGUCCUCGAGCAAAACAAAGAAACAAAACAUAAGAACAAAACAAAACCUAAACCUUCCAAUAUUUACCUUAGGGAUUUUCAAUGCAACAUGACAUGCAAAAGAUCAUCAUAACCAC
Molecule: long non-coding RNA, 273 nt
Filed under: Malus domestica (apple)
Lineage: Eukaryota; Viridiplantae; Streptophyta; Magnoliopsida; Rosales; Rosaceae
Description: long non-coding RNA (MDOM_LNC001062)
Source: RNAcentral